RNAcentral lists this transfer RNA (72 nucleotides) under Chloroflexota bacterium. RNAcentral's name for it is "Chloroflexi bacterium tRNA-Lys". It matches the Rfam family "tRNA". From Rfam's summary of the family: Transfer RNA (tRNA) molecules are approximately 80 nucleotides in length. Their secondary structure includes four short double-helical elements and three loops (D, anti-codon, and T loops). Further hydrogen bonds mediate the characteristic L-shaped molecular structure. tRNAs have two regions of fundamental functional importance: the anti-codon, which is responsible for specific mRNA codon recognition, and the 3' end, to which the tRNAs corresponding amino acid is attached (by aminoacyl-tRNA synthetases). tRNAs cope with the degeneracy of the genetic code in two manners: having more than one tRNA (with a specific anti-codon) for a particular amino acid; and 'wobble' base-pairing, i.e. permitting non-standard base-pairing at the 3rd anti-codon position. Lineage: Bacteria; Bacillati; Chloroflexota. The record is from RNAcentral. RNAcentral also lists the same sequence under 1 other name.
GGGCCGGUAGCUCAGUGGCAGAGCAGCGGACUCUUAAUCCGUCGGUCGGGGGUUCGAGUCCCCCCCGGCUCA